Molecule: ribosomal RNA, 350 nt
Filed under: uncultured bacterium
Lineage: Bacteria
Description: partial 16S ribosomal RNA
Rfam family: Bacterial small subunit ribosomal RNA
Source: RNAcentral
CCUACGGGAGUCUGCAGUGAGGAAUAUUGGUCAAUGGACGAGAGUCUGAACCAGCCAAGUCGCGUGAAGGAUGACUGCCCUAUGGGUUGUAAACUUCUUUUAUAAAGGAAUAAAACGAGGCACGUGUGCCUUUUUGCAUGUACUUUAUGAAUAAGGAUCGGCUAACUCCGUGCCAGCAGCCGCGGUAAUACGGAGGAUCCGAGCGUUAUCCGGAUUUAUUGGGUUUAAAGGGUGCGUAGAUGGGUUGUUAAGUCGGUUGUGAAAGUUUGCGGCUCAACCCUAAAAUUGCACUUGAUACUGGCGGUCAUGAGUACAGUUGAGGAAGGCGGAAGUCGGGGGGUAGCGGGGAA